This 3754-nucleotide long non-coding RNA is filed under the name Bos grunniens (domestic yak). Its description in RNAcentral is "lncRNA (ENSBGRG00000001674.1)". Lineage: Eukaryota; Metazoa; Chordata; Mammalia; Artiodactyla; Bovidae. The record is from RNAcentral.
UUUUCCCUUGCUGCUUUCAUUUUUUCUUUGUAUUUAAUUUUUGUUAGUUUGAUUAGUGUGUGUCUUGGUGUGUUUAUCCUUGAGUUUAUCCUAUAUGGGAUUUCCUGUGCUUCCUGGAUUUGGGUGAUUAUUUCUUUUCCCAUAUUAGGAAACUUUUAAACUAUAAUCACUUCAAAUAUUUUCUCAGACCCUUUCUCUUUCUCUUUUUCUGGACCCCUAUAAUUUGAAUGUUGGUGCAUUUAAUGUUGUCCCAAAAGUCUCUGAGACUGUCCUCAUUUCUACCAUUCUAUCUUCCCGUCUACUUACCUAUUCUUCUGCCUUAGGUUCUGCUAUUGAUUUUUUUCCAAUGUAUUCUUAAUUUCAGUUAUUUUGUUCAUCACAGUUUAUUCUUUAAUUCUUUUAGGUCUUUGUUAAGCACUUCUUAUAUUUUGUCAAUCUGUGCUUACAUUGUGUUUCUGAGAUCUUGGAUCAUCUUUACUAUCAUAACUCUGAAUUCUUUUUCAGGUAGAUUGCCUAUUUCCUCAUUUAUUUGACCUUGUGGGUUUUUACCUUGGUCCUUCAUCUGCAACAUAUUUCUCUUGUCACCUCAUUUUGUCUAAAUUACUGUGUUUGUGGUCUCUUUUCUGCAUGCUUUAGGGGAGCAGUUCCUUUUGCUUCUAUGUCUGCCCCUGGUGGGUGAUGUUGGUCCAGGGUCUUGUGUAGGCUUCCCUUCCACUCAAUUCAAACAUUGAAAUCCUAAUCCCCUACUGUGAUGGUAUUAGAGGGUAGGCCCUUUGGGAUAUAGUUAAGUUUACAUGAUAUCAUAUGGUGGGUGCCCAUGAUAGCAUAAAUUCCAUUAUAAGACAAGGAAGAGACAUCAGUACUUCCUUUAUCCACCAUGUGAGACUACAGCAGCCAUCUUCAAGUCAGAAAGAUGGCCUUCACCAAAACCUAACCAUGCUGGUAACCUGACAUAUUAGAGGUCCCAGCCUCCAGAUCUGUGAAAAAUAAAUGUCUUGUUUUCUAAGUCACGUAGUCCAUGGUAUUCUUUUUUUUUUUAGAAGCCUGAGCAAACAAAGACAAGUCACUUCCUUCUGUCCUUGGUGCAAGGACAUGGAGACAAUAGGGCAAAGGACAUCUGAAAGAAGAGCUAUCCAUUUUCUCUGAGUACUUAUUAGGAUAUGUGGUGAAUCAUCCAUUUGUGGUCACCUGGGAGAAUCACAGAAAUUGAUAUUAACAUUAAUAUACAAAGCUAAGCAGUAAUAUUUGGAAGUAUUUUAACCUAACUCUAAAAGUAAACAUUCAUUCUUAUUUUUUACUUAUACUCCACUUUUUCAAUUGCUAUCAUUUCACUGUAAAAACUUAAAGCAAAGAACCAUGAAGUAACAUUUGCCAUUUGACAAAUCUGAUUAAACCAAAGGUGUUUAUCAUUGAAACUGACUCUACCCACCCACUCCAUCUCAAGUUUACUUUCUGUUAGACAAAAUAUUACUAUCUUUUCCCAGAAGGAACCCAAACCAUUGUCCAUUGGAAACAGUUAUGUUUUAGGCUGUUAAACAUUGCAGGGGGUUAUAAAAUACAAAAAUAAGUGUUGGUGUUGGAAUGGAUUUCAAGAGUUUUUGGAACAUGUAUUCCGAAGACAUCUUAGAGUUCUUGACCAGAUUAAAGAAAGAUGUUGUAAUAAGGAGGGGAAAAAAUGUUUUGUAACUUGUACUUACCUAGUUGCAAUUACUAGAUCCAUUUAAAAUGAUAAUUUAAUAAAAUCAUAAGGUUAGCAGAGAAUGAACAGUCUAUUCUGAAGGUUACUCAUAGCUUUAUACUUAAAGAAUGCUUUCAGUAUGCCGUCUUUGACAUACCAUGUUUGCUGUUUGGAGGGAGGACAGGCUUUAGAGCUAAACAGACACAGGUAAGGAUUUAAUCUUCUUAUUGUCAAUGGACAAGUAAACAAGUAGCCUUUCCUUGCUCCAUGCUCUCAUCUGUAAAUGGGAGUAAUACAUGAUGUAGAGGUCAUGUGAUGGAUAAUAGAAUUUGGUACAGUGCUCAGUAGAGUAACGGGCACGUAGUAGUAGUAGUUUAGUUGCUAAGUUGGGUCCAACGCUUGUGACCCAUGGACUGUAGCCCGCCAGGCUCCUCUGUCCCUGGGAUCUCCCAGGCAAGAAUACUGGAGUGGGUUGCCAUUUCCUUCUCCAGGGGAUCUUCCUGACCCAGGGAUUGAACCCAUGAUUCCUCUAUUACAGGUGGUCUCCUGUAUUGUAGGGGGAUUCUUUAAUGACUGAGCCACUGGGGAAGCCAACAGGCACAUAGUUGGUGCUUAAUCACUGUUAGCUAUCAAUAUUAUUAUUUACCCUAACCAGAAACUUACAUUCAAAUAGCAACUCCGUUUUAAUUUACUUUUUCUUCUUUGGUGAAUUCUCAUAGUAUUAUAAAGGGAAUUUACUUGCAAAUAACAUUUUAGCGUUUUGAAAGUGGAGCAGCUAUAUGGCACAGUAAUUUAUAAUUAGUAAUAUUUAUUCAACAAAUAUUUGUUAAACAGCUAGUAUUCAGAGUUUAAUUGUAGGCACUAUCGAGGUAGAAAAAUAAGAACACUUUUAUUUCAAAUAGGUUUUAUUCACUCUACAACUAGAGGAAGGUCUAGUUCAGUAGAAAACACAAGACAAAAAGGAGAGCUUUCAUAUUCUUUGAAGGAGAAUCAUGACGUUAACAUCAUCAACAAUAAUCUGGAACACACCAUUGGUUUUUCCAUUUAGUAUUUUGAAAUACAAAAGAAAAGGAAUCAGAAGGUGAAUAGUCCAUGAGCAUAUUCAACAAUGGUAUUGUUAUUAGGUAUUAAUCCUUUAUUAGAUAAUUAUUUUUCACAUCUGGGAAAACAUCACUGGCAGCACAAUUUUAAGAGAAGUUUGGCAACAUGUAUUUUUCUCAGCAGUUCUGGAUGACAGAUUUUAGUGAAUGCUAGCCAAAAAAAUUAAGGGCAAAACCACUGGUGCACAGAAGACAACAAACUGAUCUUAUUACAGAAACAGAUAGCAGACCACAAUAUAAAAGACAUUUUAAUUUUACACCAAGCCAGAAACUCCAGAUUGAUUGGCAUACACAUCAACAAGCCUGGUCCGUGUUUAAUCAUGAGAGUGACAAGUAUUGAUUUCCUGCCUGCUCUGCCCACCUUAUUUAAAAAAUAUCAGGAUAUUUGCUUUCAAAUGACACAAACUGCCAAGGCUAUAAUCUACAGAAUGACCACUCACUGUUAACAGCAUGCCUGUUUAUGCCCAGUCGCCACUGAAAAGACAAUUACAUAUCACUCAACUGUGCAGCUAGACGUUGACACUGCUUACCCAGAAAGAGUUUAGGAAUCUUACAGUUUAGGAAGAGCAUAUGAAGAUUUUUAAUCUAAAAACGGUCUUUGCAUACCCAAGGAAGUGCCAUUCCUCUUCAGAUUUUAGAGUUCUUAAUUCCUAUAUUAAAAAAAAAACACACAAAUAACAAAAAAUCUAUUCUACUUCUACUCAGUUUUAAUAAAAGCAGUAGUCAAAAAUUGUUGCAAGAUCUCUAACCAAAUGUCAUAAAAUGCCAACUCCAAAAAAGGGCACCACGUUGAAGCCUAAGCGGCAUGACUACAAUGUCCCACAAAACAUUUGACCCUCCUUCCUUGAUGUUGCAACAUUUGCUUCUAACAUGCCUAAGGCCUAAACAGAAAUAAAAGAACUCUGGAUUGCUUUGAAUAGUCUGUAAAUAUCUUACUUCCAAAUUAUAUUGAUUUAAAAUUUCUCCUUUGCCAUUU